GUCAACUGUACCUCACAAAACAGUUUUCUAAAAAUUGAUGUUACCAGGUGUGGUGGCACACACCUGUAAUUCUAAUGGCUUGGGAGGCUGAGGCAGGAGGAUCACAAGUUCAAAGCCAGCCUCAGCAAUUUAGGGAGACCCUAAGCAUGUAGUAAGACUCUAAAAUAAAUAAAAAGGACUGGAGAUGUGGUUAAUGACCUCUGGUACCAAAGUGUCUCUCAAUUCCUGGUACAAUAAAAAUUAAAAAUUGAUGCUUAGGAGCCCAUUGUGAUGGUACAUCCCUGUAAUCCCAGGGACUUUGGAGGCUAAGGUAGGAGGAUCAUAAGUUCAAAGCCAGCUUCAGCAAUUUAGGGAGGCCCUAAGCAACUUAAGACCCUGUCUCAAAAUAAAAUGGACUGAGCUGGGGUUGUGGCUCAGUGGUAGAGCACUUGCCUAGCAUGUGUGAGGCACUGGGUUUGGUUCUCAGCACUGUAUAUAAACAAAAUAAAGGUUCAUUUGAUACCACUGGUUAUUGGUGAGAGUGAGGAGUCCUGCUUCCCCACAUGUUGAAGUUUGAACAUUAAAGAAGCACACCUAGGAAAGCAUAUGAAGCAGGGUUUAUUUAAAAAGGGGUAACAUAGACUUCUCCUGCAAGGGAGAAGGGGCCAUAGCUGGUAUCCCAAGAAACGAGGUGUUCUGCCCUUUUUAUAUAUCCUAGGAUUCCUUUGUUCUCCUGCCUUUUUCCCUUUUAUCUUUCUCCUUCUUGUGGAGGUGGUGACUAGGCCCAGGAGUGCUGGGUGGGAUGGCCAAAAGGUGGGAACCAGGUGGGCUGAAGGGGGAAGGGCAGGUGGAGUAGACAAGGACACUUUAACAACCCUAGAGUUCCCUGGAGGGAGGGGCAAUUCCUGGGACAGGUUACCCUGGCAACAGGUUGGAGCAGGGGCAGGUUCUACAUAAGAUCCCUCAGGGGACAGUGUCCAACUUCUCAGAGUAACUUAAAAUUGUCCUCCUAGUUCUUUUGACUCAAUUUAUCUAUCUACACUGACUAUCUAUCUUUAAAUCUGGCUUCACAUUGACAACUAAAAAGUAUUUUAAGUAAGUAAAUAAAUAAAUAAAAUUUAAAAAUAAAAAGUGUUGGGUAGAGGGAUUCCUUCAGUACUUGCUACCUCAGAAAAGAGGCAAUGUUUUGAGGAAAGACGGUUGUUUAGGUUUUUGAUCUAGUGAGUGGAGAGGAGAAGUCAGGUUGUUCAGGUGGGGGAGACAGUGGAGGGGCUGGGGCAGAAGGUUGAGGGUGAGGACCUAUUUGAGCCGGGCGAUAGGGUGGAAAUUCAUCAGGAGGGUCAAAAGUAGUGGAUGAGUCCGGAGGAAGAGGAGAUUGGGGAUCAGUGGUUGUGGGUGUUGGUUUGCAAGCUAGAAGAAUUUGCAGAGGUGCAGAGAGCACAAGCAAGAAGAAAGCUUUGAUAUAGCAGCUUUUUACCCAUUUUUUCGAAUGCUCACAGUAAUUGUAGAGAUCCCUUAGAAUGGAGGGAUCCAGGGACCCAAAAGGGGGGCCAUCUGCUUUGGUUGUCUAAGGGAUAAGUGGGCCAGGCCUGGGUGCUAUAUUUGAUCAAUUUUGGGGGUUUGAUGUCUGGUGUCAAGGAGAGGGUUUUGAGGUUAUCCAAGAGGCAUUGUAGGGGAGAGUCGACCGGCAGAGAGGACACAUUACCCGUGUCGCAAAGUAGUAUAAGGAGGAGGGAAGGGGAUGCAAACUUGGUAUAGAGGAGAAGGAAGGAGACGCAACCGUAGUAUAAGAGAGAAGGAGGAAACUGAUUUAUUGGCAAAAGGGGCGUCCCCGCUAGAGCCAAAAAUCAGGAGUGUCUUAGUGGCAGGUUCGAGCUGCAGAGAUUGGUCAUCACCGAAUCCUGACAGUCGAAGCUCUCGUCCUGGAUGGAGCUGGAGCCGUGGGAGACCUUGCCCAAGGCUUUUCUUUUUGGGACCCCUCCUGGAGAGGCCAGAGACUUGCAGGGCCGGAAAGAGGGGAAAGAGAGAGACAGGGAAAGAGAGAGGAAGGGGAGGGUAAGGUACUCUCUAGCAGCCGAGUCUUGAAGGUGUGAGGACUAGGAUUUUAGGAGAGCCACAGAGAUGGUGAAGGUCUGGGUGGACUGUGAUGUUCAGUUCUCUGUUAUGUGUCCCUGGAGGUUACACAGUCCUUCGAGGGAGACCUACAAAGCCUAUGCUGGUAACUAACAGCUGGGAAGGGAAGGGAAUAAUUUUGAACCCAGGAGUCUAUUCUGCCCUAGGAAGGAGUCCCUGAGGGCCACCGUAGCCUUAAAGGCUGUGGUGGGGUGUUUUCCUCCCCGCAGGUGGGCAAAGAGGUUUGCCAGACAAUCAAGGCCAAAUCCUCCUGACACCACCAUUGGGUUUAGGACUCCAGGAAGGGGAAACUCACCAAUUGAAGGUCGGUGGUGGAUGGAGUUCUAGCAGUCGAGAAAAUGGGUUCAGGCCUGGGUUCAGGUCAUCCGGUCAGUGGCACUUCCGAAGGAAGAGGGACCCAAAAGUGGGUUUUUUUUUUUUUAAAUAUCUUUACUUAUUUAUUUAUUUUUAACAUGGUGCUGAGGAUAGAACCCAGUGCCUCAUGCAUGCUAGGCAAGCGCUCUGCCACUGAGCCACAUCUCCAGGCCCCCCAAAAGUGGGUUUUAACCCUCUCCCAGGUUUCGGCACCAAUGAAAGGAAAGUGACCACAACACUCGGAGCAACCAAAAGAUCUUUAUUGCAGCAGUGCAACAAAGAGAAAGGAAAGAAGGAAAGAGAGAGAAAAGAGAAGAGAUGAACAGGGAGAGAGCAAGAGCAAGAGAGAGAGAGCGCGCGUAAGAAAGAUAAAGAGCAAGAGAGAAAGAGCAAGAGAGAGAGGGAGAGAGAGGAGGGCCUGGUAGGAGGGAGUUUUUAUAGCCCAAAUCUAAUGGGGCCUCUGGGUCUGCAGGGGGGGUUAAGUGUUCAGCCUUAAGCAGGGUUGAAUGUUCAGACUUGAGGAAAACAGGUGAUAAAGGACCAGAUAGAGGGGGGUUUGAGUGCGUGGGCUAUCUUGCAGCCAACAUCUGUUCAGCCUGCCCAGCAGACAACAGAAUUCAGCCUGCUCUGCACCCAACAAAAAGGACUGGGAGGGCUGGGGAUAUAGCUCAGUUGUAGAGUGUCUGCCUUUCAUGCACAAGGCCCUGGGUUCAAUCCCCAGCACCACAGAUAAACAAAUAAAUAGGACUGGGGAUGUGGCUCAGUGGUAAAGUGCCCCUGGGUUCAAUCUCCAGUACUGAAAACGAGGGGGAAAAAAAAUUCAGGGGACUGGGGAUAUAGCUCAGUUGGUAGAGUGCUUGCUUCACAUGCACAAGGCCAUGGGUUCAAUCCCCAGCACCACAUACACACACACGAAAAAAAAAAAAAAAGAAAAAAAUUCAGGUUGAGACCUGGGAAUGUAGAUCACCGGUAGAGAUUUGCCUAGCAUGCACUAGUCCUUGAGUUCCACCUCUGGCACUGUAAGAAAAAAAAAAAGUUGAUGUUUAUCAAAAGCUUUGGAGAAAUGUUUAGAAUCAAGUUGUAAUUACCACAUAUAGGAAGAGCAGUGAUUCAUGGCUUAUACUUCAGAAAGAAGUGUGCCUCCCAUGUGCAAGGCCCUGAUUUCAAAAGGAACCAUGGGGGUGUGGGGGAAACAAGGUCUGGAGUCAACUUGUGACUAUGCAGCUUUGAACAAACUGCUCAGCCUGUCUGUGCUGAUGGCAGGCAUGUGGAGAGAGGUCAUAAGCUCAUCCCAGGGAAGCCCUCAGUACCUGGCAUGCAGGGGGUACUCAGAGGUUAGAGGCACUGAGGUUCUCCUAACAGAAUGGGAGAAGGUGACCUAUACCUGAAGUAAACUGCUGGCAACCACUAAACUGUUCCAGAAUACUGCCAUUUACCCUUGACCCUUCCAAACCUUCUGAGUCAUCCUUGGCUCACCCCUCACCCUCACCCCCCAUAGUCUGAUGGCUGCCAAGACAAGUAGAAUUUUCCUUGGAAAUGCUCUUUCUCUUCAUGCUCAGGGGUCCACCUGCCAUCUUAGGCCCUGAGGCCCUGUACUGUGGCAAUCUUCUGCUGAUUCUUGCUGAACUGAGUCUGUUCCACAUUCCUUUCUCAACUGCCCAUCUCCUGUUGUAGAAAGUCCCAGACUUCUGGUGAAGCCAGAAUUAGAAAGGCAGUCAGUAUAGACAGGUAAAUUGAGUCAGGUCAGAUCAAGGAGGCCAAUUGUGAGUGAGUCCCAGAAGUUGGAGACAGUCCCCAGAGGGACUGAAAUGUUAAUUCCCUCAGAGCCCUUCCUCCACCCUCAUCAAGAACCUGCCCCUGCUCCCACCUGUUGCCAAGGUAACCUGUCCCAGGCAUUGCCCCUCUCUACAGGGAGCUCUAAGGUUGUUCACGUGUCCUGGGCUGCACGGCACAUCCUGCCCUUCCCCCUUCAGCCCACGGGUUUCCCCCCUUUGGCCCUCCCACCCAACAUUCCUGGGCCUAGUCGCUGGAGGGAGAAAGAGAAGGGGAAGAGGGCAGGAGAACCAAGGGAGCCUGGGACACAUAAAAAGGGCAGAAAACCUCGCUUCUUCGGAUACCAGCUAUGGCCCCUUCUCCUUUGCAGGAGUCUAUGUUACUCCUUUUUAAACAAACCCUGCUUUAUAAGCUGGCCUCCCUGUGCUUCUCUUAUGUUCAAACUUCCAACAGGUGGGAAACCAGAAUUCCUUACCCAUAACCGGCAGCAUCACUGGGACACACAACAGAGGUCCCUCUUCAGGUGGCAGACCACAGGGGGCUGCCACCCAGCUCAUUCCACCUCUCCCUUCUCUCUGCUGGGGUAUCUACCCACAUGCUCCUUGCCUGGGAACUCCCAUUGAAUGUCCUUGUUCAGUUUCAUGGUUUGCCCAGGCCAGGGGCUUGUGCCUGCUCUGCUGUCUGACUGAAGGCAGGCCCCAACACAGAUGGGCUUCCACCAGAAGCCAAGGGGUUGAGAGGGCCACAGGAGAAGGGUCCUGCCACCGCUCACAGGUCUCUUGCCCUCCCAGUUCCUGGGCUCUUUGACUCUACAAUAUUGCCCAGUUCCCUUCCGUUCCUAAGCAUCCCUUGUAAGUGUGUUCCUGCCCUCACUCCCAGCAUCCUGUUUACUGAAGCCCAUCCACCUGGAUGCUCCACAGAUUUGUUUACCCAACACUGGGGUCAUUAAACUGGUCACCUGCCUUCAUCAGCUUGAGCCCCAUGUUCCCAAUAACCACAGCUCCAGCCCACUCUGUGCCCAUCUCCACGCCUGACCUGGCUGCUUCAGACCUAGGAAGCCAUGCUGGCCCUGCCCUCCCUCCCGCGGAGAGGCCCAGGUGACCUGGCCAUUUAUGAGGAAUACAGGGGCGGCUGGAGCUCAGUGGUAGCAGCCUGCUUCGCAUGUCUGAUGCCGGGUUUCGUCCCCAGUCCCCGGCACAAAAAUAGUGUGUAAAAGAAAUGGGCAUGAGAGAGGAAGGACGGCGCAAGCCCGGCGGGGCCACACCCUGGGCUCUGACGGCCCGCACCCACCGCUCAGAGCAGCUCCUCGGCGCUCCCACCCCGGGGCGCGCGGAAAGGAGGUGCCCUCCUCCCGCCGGUCUGUGGACCCUCCCCUCCCUGCGCUCGCCCACGGCCGUCGCCGCCAGCGGAAGGAGCGCGCCCCGCCCGCCCGCCGCGGGAGGAACCCUUCCGCGCAGAGGCGCCGGGCGCCGCCUGCAGGUCCGUUAACUGGGGGUUUGUAGCCUCCGACUGCGAACUUCCUCCCCUUCCAACGGCAGGACUGGGCCGUCGGGGCGGCUGCCGUCUGAGAAUCCACCUCAAAUCUUCCAGCAUUCCCCUGGGUAGCUGUCUGCACUUGUAAGAGAA
This 5865-nucleotide long non-coding RNA is filed under the name Marmota monax (woodchuck). The stretch from base 3124 to 3192 matches the Rfam family "tRNA". The record is from RNAcentral. Lineage: Eukaryota; Metazoa; Chordata; Mammalia; Rodentia; Sciuridae.